Long non-coding RNA from Syngnathus acus (greater pipefish), 626 nucleotides. RefSeq lists it as uncharacterized. The record is from RefSeq and is a predicted model, not a curated record. The transcript has 3 exons. NCBI's taxonomy places the organism in Eukaryota, Metazoa, Chordata, Actinopteri, Syngnathiformes, Syngnathidae.
UCCACUUUUCCCACCCGGCCUCAAGAUGGCGGAAAAGUAUUGCAUUUCGUUUCGGUCAUUUUAAUUUUAUAAACACUUCAUUUAAAAGAAUAUCAAAUUCAUCAAUUUAAUGACUACACAAGUAAAGACAGAAAUGAUUCAUCACCGAGGAGACAGAGAAGUCAGGAGGAAAGAAGAGUUCUGUGAAAGCCAAACCAGAGCUGUGUGUUCAGCACUCACAAGCACCCGUAAAGUGUGGAAGCGGUGCUGACGAGGCAUCCGUCCCAUCCGCCGUGACCGUGGGUCAACCGGCCGGCGGUGAAUAACCGAGGCGAGCCACGUUUGCAAGCGGCGAAGGAACAAGGUGCCGACGGCAUGAUUUGUAUCGGGGUGGCUCAUUGUGAGGAAACUCGCAUGCUAAGCAGAUGUAAAUGAGCUCGCUGACUUUGCAGCGGGAGCUCUCGAGUGUGGACACGUGUCUAAAAAUAGUCGGUAAGCAUCGCUCGGUCCGGCCGGCUGCAUCCCACCCGCCGAUCAAAAGGCAAAUAAAUGGGAGUGAAGGUCGCGGGAUGGAGCACGUCGAUAAAAGUUAUUCUGAGCGCGUCCGCCUGUCCUUAGCCUCCUUAUCGAUUGGAAAGGGGAGGGGG